AUGGGGACAUGCUGGCACGUUACUGGGUUGUACUGUGACAUUGCUGGGGCGCUGGUGGGUGGUCAGGGGACAUACUGGGAUUUGUUGGGAUGCUCUGGGACCUCCUGGCACAUCAAAGGGGGUGCCAGGCCGCACCCCAGCCCCCUCAUUCCCCCCACCAGGCCUGGCAGACCGGCAGGAGAAGGCACUGGUGGAGAUCCUGGCAGCCAGUGUGGUCCAGGCAGCCGAGGGGCAGCCCCCAGUGGGCCGCAGCCUGGCCAAGAAGCCCUCAGCCCGGGAGCGCAAGGCACAGGCAGAGGAGAGAACCCGGCUCACCCACUGCCUCAUCCCAGCCCUGCCCCAGCUGCUGGCCAAGGUGAGGGGGACGGAGCUCCCCACCACCCCCGGGGACCUUGGGGGGUUGGCACUGACCCCCUUCCCCCACUGCCCUCCCUCCAGUUCUCAGCUGAUGCUGAGAAGGCGGCUCCACUCCUAGAGGUGCUGCGCUGCUUCGAUCUCAGCAUAUACUGCACUGGGCGGCUGGAGAAGGUGCUGUUCCCUCACCCCUCAGGCAGGAUCCGGCCCCCUGGGGCUGGGGCAGAGCCACUCUGCCCCUGGGAAAUGGGGCUGCAGGGAUGGGAUGCCGAUGGGUCCCCCAGGUGUCCCCUUCAGGAUGCUCUGUGUCCCCGUCCCCAUUGGGAGGCCGUGUGCCUGUGCCCCCAUCAAGGGGCUGUCUCUGUCCCCCUGGGGGGCCCAUGGCUGUCUUCAUCCUCUCGGGAGGGCGGGACGGACCAUACCUUCCUGCAGGAGGCUGCAAGUCCCCUUGUCCCGAUGGGAGGCCCCCUGACCCUUGUCCCUGGGGAGGUGGCGUGUCCCUGUCCCUCCCACAGCCCCCUCUCCCCGCAGCACCUGGAGCUGGUGCUGGGGCAGCUGCAGGAGGUGGUGGAGAAGCACACGGGGCAGGCAGUGCUGGAGGCUGCGUCCCGCGCGCUCCACGCGCUCUGCGACCCUGAGCUCGCCCUGCACGGCCGUGGGGACCUGGUGCGCAGCCGCCUUGCCGACCAGCUGGCCGACAAGUUCCACCAGGAGGUCACCGAGCUGCUUCAGGUAGAGGGGAUGAGAGAGGGACCCUGAGUCUGGGACAGGGCUGGGGACCGCUGGGG
This 1142-nucleotide long non-coding RNA is filed under the name Accipiter nisus (Eurasian sparrowhawk). RNAcentral's name for it is "lncRNA (ENSANIG00000015362.1)". Lineage: Eukaryota; Metazoa; Chordata; Aves; Accipitriformes; Accipitridae. The record is from RNAcentral.